Molecule: long non-coding RNA, 562 nt
Organism: Brassica napus (rape)
Lineage: Eukaryota; Viridiplantae; Streptophyta; Magnoliopsida; Brassicales; Brassicaceae
Exons: 2
Source: RefSeq, a predicted model, not a curated record
AUUUGGUACACUUGAACUUCAAGGUAAAGUAAGUGACCUUCCAGAAGCUCAGAAGAAAAAGAGUAGAUUAAGUGUAUUUACCCACAUGCAUGAAUUUCGGGUUUAAAUUGGUGACAAGUGGGUGAACAUGUGUCAAGUGCUCCCAUCCCUCCCUUUGGCUAUAAAUAGAACCCUUAGGAUGUGUUUUUGAAGUUUAGAAACCCCUGAGCUUUCUCUCUCAGUCGAUCUUAUGGUUUGUUCUAGAGAGAGAAAAUGGCUUAAAACCGAUAAAUUUUUGAGUAUGUGAGGUGAGUGUGGAAGGCUUUUGCGUGGCUUGAUCCUUGCUCUAGGAUCGGUUGUGGAGUGCUAGGAGUGGUGGUAAGACCUUAGUUGAUCGUUUGUAACCUUAGGGGAUUGGGCGUUUGCAGGGUGCGGAGGACGAGGCCAGGCGUAGAUUUCCGUUGUUGUUUGCAAGGCGCAAGAUGUUGAUGUUUUCACUCGUUUUGUUUUUCAUGGGUACCCGUUGACUCGUUUGUUUUUAUUUUCUGCUGCGUUUAUCUUUAAGGACUUUAGUCGAGUUCCC